RNAcentral lists this long non-coding RNA (7229 nucleotides) under Sus scrofa (pig). RNAcentral describes it as "lncRNA (ENSSSCG00050006106.1)". Lineage: Eukaryota; Metazoa; Chordata; Mammalia; Artiodactyla; Suidae. The record is from RNAcentral.
AGUCCUGCCUGGAUAGUCUUUUGAGCACGCUAGAGAAGGACUCUAUCAAGAACACUGUUUUGGUACCCAAGCAAUUGGAUUUCUCCCCUGCACCCAGCUGCCUUGUCUGUGUCUAAUGAAGAAUCUACUCUGCCUGUACCCAGGACCCAGCCAGUUGAUUCUGCAACCACUGAGAGAAGAAAUGGUACACAUCUGCUAUUUUUAAAGGUGUUUUCUCUACCAGUUGGGGGUGCAGCAGAAGUAUAGGCCAUUGGUAGCACAGGAAUUUGGUUUGUCUCCAAAUUAGUGUGGACAGCUAUCAAGUCUGCAAACCACACACAAAAUCCCCUAUAACACCUUCUCUAAAAGGGGAGCCUGGGCACUACAGAGUCAGUAUUGGGGUAAUUCCUCUAAACCUGUAUAUCUGGGGUCCCUGAAUCAGAUGUCUAAGUCUGAGACCCCCAACCUAGAAUAUUAUUUAAUGCCAUCUCCUGUUACGAAGGGCUGAGACUUAAAAUCAUAGAAGGACCCCUUUUUAAAGAACUGCUUGUUCUGUGGAAGGAGCCCCUCAGACAAGUGCUCUGGGGCAGUGCCACCCAGUGUGAUCCUUGACCACAGCAUUAGUGCCACUUGGGAGCUCAUGAGACAAGCAGAAUCUCAGGUUCCCUUCCAGAUCUGCUGGAUCAGAACCUCCCUCAACAAGGUCCCAGGAGACUUAGGUGUGCAUUAGAGUUUGAGCAGCUCUGGUGCCGUGGACUUAAAUGAGUCACACACCUUCUCUGGGUCCCUUGAGUCACAAAACACUGUGAAAGACUUUGGUUUAUCAUCUCCCAAAGUUCAAGAAAGUUCAAAGUUUCCUGGGAAAGCAGAGGUAAUGUUAAUAAGCAUGGCAAGUACAGCUAAACCUCUUCUUUGAAUUAGCCACUGAAGAAAUAUCCAAAAAAAUUCAUGCAAUUCUUCAUUUGGGUGCUUUUUAACCCUCAGAGCUCUUGAAGGGAGAAGUGCCUCUGGAAUGCAGCAUUGCCCUUAGAUCCUUCAGACACGGAGAUCAAAGGUGAGAGUCAUCAAAGUGUUUGUGGGCUCAAAAGCAAAAAGACAUCAGUUCUGAAAUACAAGAGUUGUGCUGAGGUGGUUUUUGUCCCUUUGUGUGUCCUUAUGAGGAAGAGUGCUUCUUGAGCCUUUGAACCCUAGAGUCCUGCCAGUUUGAGUGGAAGAGGUGGCAUUUUCCUUUAAGCUGCAGGUUGCCUUCUGUUCAGAUCCUCAAGCAUCAAGGUCAGGUCCCGUUCAGAAUAACUGAAUGUUAAUUGACUUGCUGGGAAUUAACGUGCAUUAUCUUGUUUAUACCAGUGUUCUGCUGGCAGUUUGUAAAUCAUUCUCUGGAGGGCUCUGACAUGGAUUUGAAGUUUAUUUCUGUUUUAUAGGAAUAGGGUUAAUCUCUAGCGAUGCUAGAGGGUUAGAGAAAUUAGAUAGGAUGAGGCGGUGGGGGCAGGGGACCUCUCCUUUGCACACUCCUGUAUCAUGAAUGAUCACCACAAUUGGCAGGGAUUGUGGAGACUAUGUUUACCUCCAGGUAAGAAGCAGACUGGCUCUAUAAUUAGGUUAACACUUUCCUGGGAGACUUUAUUUUGCUCUUUACCUUUUCCAAAUGGAUAUAGGCUCUUGCUUGCUUGAGCUUUCCCUUGGCAGCUAACCAACACACACAAUACACACGCACACACGCAUGCGUGCAGAGGCACAGACUGGCUGGCACACUCGUAAAGACCAUGCAAGGUGACCCCAGUGAUUUGUAUGGCUACCCCUUGCCAUGGUCCAUUUCUCAAUGAGUUGGGCAGUCUUCCAAAUACUCAGCAGCUCUCUAUGCAGUAAUCACUUUGACUUCAUUGAAACCCCAAGCAAGAGGUGUACAGUUCCCCUACAUAAUGCUCUAUUUUUGGUUUACAUUAACUGUAAUCCCACUGUUGCUUAUUUCUCUUGCUGCCAACCAAGUAAUUUUGGGGAAGUCACUGGGCUUCAGUUUCCUUAUGUAUACAAUUAAGUAACUUACCUUUUAGCUACAGCCUUGGUUUUAUGCCUUUUUCCUUGGUUUCAGGGAAUAAAACGGUUGCCAGCUCCCAGGCUACUCAUCUUAGACCUGAAGCCUGGAACUGCAGUGCUGUAUUGAAAACUGUAGUGGCCUUAGAGGGUUAGUUUAGAAUUCUGGAUCUGCCUCUGUCUUACUGUUCAUCUGACCUUAGGCAAAUCUCUUGGAUCUUCAAUUUCGUCAUCAGAAAAAUGGGGAUGAAUAUUCUGUCUUUCUUACCCUGCGGGGCUAUGAUGAGAGUGUGCUGAUCAGUACGGAGGCUGAUAAAUUGCUAGGUUUUUCUGAUCUGUCCUUUUAGUGAGGGAGGUGCCAUCAAACUGGUCCUAGUCCCUGAGUGUUCUGAGUUAGCCACCCUUGCAGGGCAGAAUUCUAUAGGGAUACCAUUCCUGGGCGACCCUCAGUACCAUCCAAGCAGUUUUUAGGGGAAAGAGUCAGACAUAUAAAAUGGACGUGAAGGCAGUUUUGAGAACCAGUGAUGUGAAGGCAAGGAAAUCUUACCAUUCUCUUGAUCUUCAAUCCUGAUCAUCGCUGUAUAUGCAAGGAUGUCCCUUCUCAUAUUUAAUGCCUGAGGUACAGUGCAGACAAGGAUGGAGUCUGUAGGGGACUGUCCUGCUGUCGUCUUAUUAAGCUUGACAAAUGUAGCUUCUAGUCUUGAUUCUUAAUUUUCUUGCCGAUAUGAUAAAUAGAAAUCAUCUGUGACACAACUGUUGGAAAUGAACUUCCUAAGAGCUAUACAUCUUUUGGGAACUCUUUCAACUUGAACUAUAUUUAGCCUCUCUAAGCCCUCUUUAAAGCACUAACUGGGGCACUGCAAUAUUAGGGGUUGAUAAAGGAAGAGGAGGUAGAGAGGAACAGCAUCAAUCUGUUUCUACUUAGACCAUUUUGCUACCUGUUAGAGUUGGUUUUGGAACUGACACCAGUUAGUUAAAUUCUGUGCCUAAGGAAUAGCUUUGGGAUGAGAACCUGGAGUUUAUGCAUAUGGCUUCACAAGCCACAAAGUCUUAGGCUUAGUCCUUCCCUUCACUCUUCCUCUGAUCCAGAUACACCUGUCUGGAAAUGAACUCGGCAACAUAGUUCAGAGCCUCGGUCCCAGGCUGGUACUAUUAAGGACUUUGGAGGAGGGGGAGGGAUAGAGAGAAAAAAUAACCCUAUCCAGAACUAUGAUUCAAAAUUAAAGAGGCAAAACAAAAUUCUCAGGAGGUGAGUGUUUUAUUUGUCUUAAUUCGUUUCACUUUAAUUUGUCAGUGAAAUGAGAUAAGAACAUCUGUUUCCUGCUCAAUAGGAGCCAUGUUCUUUCAGGUAAGAAUGAUAAUGUGGGGGGAAUACAUUUCUGCAGACUUGCCCUAAUCUAUUUCUGGGGUAAUGGACUUGCACAGUGGCCUCAAGUGCAGCUGUUAAUAGCUUCUUACAUCUUCCAGCAGAAAAGCACUAGAGCUGUUUUCAGAUAUAUGUUCACUUUGAGGAAAAGAACAACAGACCUUCUGUGAGAGAGAGAAAGAAAGAAAAAAAAAAAGGGGGCUCUUUAAUCUAGCUGAAAGGUGGAAAAUACCUCAGUGCAUGCUCCUUCUGGUAUAAACAACAGUGUUAGGGAAAAGGCUUCUUUUCUCCAUACCAAGAAACAUUUAGGACCCAGAACCUAGAUUCCAUCUCUUCUGUACUUCCCUGGUUACUUUACCCCAAUGAACUUUGGACUCCAGGGGGAAAGUCUAAAAAUACUAGAGCCUAUUUUUUCAAAAGCAAGUAACAAAGAUGGAAGGGGCUUGCUUUUGCCUUAGGGAAAAAAGGGAUAUAAAAUCUUAAUGUUUUCAUUUUUAAACUCUACACCAAAGCCAGACCUUGGAAUAUGGUUAUUUUUAUUUUUAAUAGGCAAUGUAGAGACAAGGUAGCACACAUUCAAAUGGCUCAAAAGGAAAUGAAAGGUUAUUCUCCCUUCCAACCCAGCCUGCCAGCACUCCAGUUCCUCUUGCUGUGGCCAGUUUCUUAUGGCUCCUUCCAGAGAUAAUAUUCUCUGCAUAAUGAAACAUUGAAGUGUGUGUGUGUGUGUGUGUGUGUGUGUGUGUGUGUGUGUGUGUAUUUAUGUGUUCAUGCAUGGGCACCCUCUCUGAGUUCUCUUUUAACCUAAAUAGUUGCAUCCUAUACACAUUCUCUUGCCUCUUGCUUUUUUUUUUAAAUUAAAAAUUGUCUUAAGGACAAUUUCAUAUUAGGACAUAGAGACCAAUCUUCUUAUUUUAACAGCUCUAUAGAAGCCCAAUGAGGUAUGUAUCAUAAUUUAAUGAACCAGCUUCCUUUUCGUGGGAACUUAAGCUCUUUUGAUUCGUUUGCCCUUACAACAUUGGAAUGAAUACUUUCCACAUACCUUACAAUGUGAAGUAUUUUGGAAUCUUGAACUGCCAUGAUGUAAAUUUCUUCUUACAUCUUUCCUCUUCUGUGGUUGCAAGUUUCUCCCAAACUCAGCAGAAAACUUCAGCAAACUUAAUUAUAUUUCAUUUUUGAAAUAUUAACUCUAUGCCAGUAUAUAGUGCUGAUUUCUGGAUGUGGGAUUUCUCUCUGGUUUAGUUUAGAUGUUACCAAUCUAGUCAGGGAAGACAAAAGUUCGAUCAAUGUUUUCACGCUGCUACUAGAUCAGUUAUUGAGUAAAUAUGACCCUUUUUGCUACAGUGGUAAGGUCACAAAAGUCACCUUAACAUCCUGAGGAAAUCAAUUCCAACAAUGGUCUAGGUUAGCCUCUGACUCAGGGAUUUCUGGAUGCAUAGAAUUUCUGCCUCUGCAUUGAUAAGGUCAUACAUAUGUAUGUACCAGAACACAGAGUUCCCUGGGGCUUUGGUUUUCAACUUUGAAUGAAUAGAAACUGGAACACAUUUGAAAUGAGAUUGAAGGCUGUGGGAAUAGUGGAGCUUUGUAUUUUUAUUUUUUAAAUAGAUAGCAUGUUUUGGAGAUGGAUAAAUAAGGAUCUAGCCAUGUAGGGAUAGUGAUGGGUCUAAUCGGAGCUACAGCUGCUGGCCUACGCCACAGCCACAGCAAUGCCAGAUCAGAACCACAUCUGUGACCUACACCACAGCUCAUGGCAACACCAGAUCCUUAACCCACUGAGCGAGGCCAGGGAUCAAACCAACAACUUCAUGGUUCUUAGUUGGAUUUGUUUCUGCUGCGCCACGAUGGGAACUCCCAGAGUACUUUUAUUAAAUAAAUGGGGACAUGAGUACUUGGUGCUCCCAAACUCAAAAUAUCUACAACAGCCUCUCAUUGACAUCUGACUUUGGCUCACCUAACUUCAUAUUGUUGUGGCGGCUGUCAGCAGCCCAAGGCUGGAGUGUAUCAGCUCUGGUGGCAGCCCUAUGGCCAGUGUACCAGCUCUAGCAGCUCUUUCACCCGGUGAGAAACCAAGCAAGAACUUAGAGAGUUGGAGAACUCAGGUUUAUUAUGCCGGUGGGCUCAGAGGAGAUCGCUCUCUGGAGUCUGAGUCCCGAAGAGGGGUUUCACAAGGCUUUUAUGGGCUAGUUCUUCUGGAUCCAUGCUUGGCAGACCAGAGUGAGAACUGGCAAAGUAAUAGAUGCGGAAACAAGUUUACAGAAGCAGAUGUGUAGGGAAGGGGUGGUUGGGGCAGUUGGCUAGACUUUGCUUAGUCAUCAUGGCUGGGGUCUCUCCUUUCUACCUUUUUAUCAGGACACUUUCUCCUAGAAUAUUGUCUUACUUUCCUUAUUGGUAAAAACUAGUUGAACUUGAUCAUCUUUGUGAUCUCCCCUCCACUUCUAAAUGAUUUUUCUUUUUUCUUUGAAUCUUUUGCUUUUUUACGUUUACUGAGCAUUUAACCUCAACAAGUAUUUUCCUAGUUCCAAUCCUGACUGUACUUUAAUAUGUCUAUGAAACACAUAUGUACCUAAAAACAAAAGUAUAAUAUGUACAAUCUAAUAAUAAGCUAGGUAUGAAGAGCAACGUGAACCCAGAAGAGGGAGCAAUCAAUUCACUUGAGACUAUAACAUCUGAAUCUAGUGUGAAGCUUGACCAGUCUUUGCUAAAUCUGUGAUGCCAGACUAGCAGGUAGGAUACAUGCAAUGAAAGUGUGGAGCUGGAAUUACUUAAAAGGGGAAAAGUACAGUGGCAAAUUUACAAAGAUUUAUGUAUCGACUUUUUUUUCCUUCUAAUUGUCCCCAAAGAAAGUAAGGACAAUAUAGAGAUAGAUCAGAAGGUAUUGACCAAAUAAUUAAAGAGUGGACAAGCAUGAUUUCUGAGCAAGUAUCAUGGAAGUGAGUUAGGAAAUGAAUGCUGGCAAAUAAUUGCACAAUAAUUUUAAUAAAACAUUGUCAAGAAACAAAACAAAUAUAACUUCAGUAAACAAAAUGUAACCACACCACUGUCAUCACCGUCAGAACAGCAGAGUGACUUAUGGUACAUAACCCAGUGAAGUCAGAAAUCAGUUAACAAUGGAGAUUGGAUUUUUCCUCUAAAAUCUCAGAACAUAGAAGAGUCUCCCUUGUGAUGGAUUAUGUGUUCAUACUUGAAGUCAGAGGAAUGAAUUAGAAGACUUCUUAAAGCCCUCAGGUCCUCACAUUCUAAUAUUUUGCUUUACCUCCAUGGUUGUUCUGUGAAGUGACUUUACCCCAAAUGAAGAAUUGCUGCUGCAUAAUGGUUGAUGCUUAUUAGAGACAAAUGUGCUGGUCCAGGGAACUAUAUUAAACAGUGUAAAGGAAAUGCCAUUCUCUAAAUGGGAGGAGGGGGAAUAACAACCAAAAAUUAUAUUGAGAAUUAAUUAUAUAUUAUAUUGAAAUUAUAUUCAAAUUUAUAAAAAUAUUUAUAUUCUCUUCAAGCAUAUUCUUCUUGAGAACAAUAAAAGGCCUCACAGAGCCAAUCAUUAUAAAAGCAGGAACUGCUAGAAUAGGAGGGGGUUAAUCAGGGAUGAAAGAUUGAGUUUUCCUACUCUACUUUCCCUUUCUAAUCCAGUUCUUUUCUAAAGCAAAUCCUUCAGAGACUAAAUGUAUUCACUUCUCUAGGAGAGUUAAUUACAGUCUUAUUUAGAAAUAAGAGAGUACCUUACUUUACCCUUUAAAGUUCCUUCAGGACUAUUGUGAUUCUACUAAAAUGCUUUAGGCAUUAAAUAGAGUCAGAAAACUGAAUAUGCAUUCUUGGCUCCAAGAGAAAAAGGAAAAAAAAAAUGUUUCAGAAACAAGAAAAA